AAAUUUUAAGUCACUGGAUGUGACAAGGAAAAAUUUUUCUAAGUUACUGGACCAGACAAUCAUCGAUUGUUUGGUUUUUUCUGGAAAAAUUUCAAGUCACUGGAUGUGACAAGGAAAAAUUUCUUACUGGACCAGACAAUCGAUUGUCAAAUCCAGACAAUCGAUUGUCAGGUAUAAUUUAAAAACAUUUCAUCUCACUGGAGUGUAUACAAUCGAUUGUACNN
RNAcentral lists this long non-coding RNA (224 nucleotides) under Nicotiana benthamiana. RNAcentral describes it as "long non-coding RNA (NBEN_LNC029704)". Lineage: Eukaryota; Viridiplantae; Streptophyta; Magnoliopsida; Solanales; Solanaceae. The record is from RNAcentral.